This 738-nucleotide long non-coding RNA is filed under the name Fukomys damarensis (Damara mole-rat). RNAcentral's name for it is "lncRNA (ENSFDAG00000031741.1)". Lineage: Eukaryota; Metazoa; Chordata; Mammalia; Rodentia; Bathyergidae. The record is from RNAcentral.
CUUGCUGACUAAACCUCUCAUCCGGGAAAUAAAUCUUCAACAUGUGGGCCUUUGAGGGCUCUCCAAAUCCAGACUGUACCUUUGUCCUUAACCCUUUUUAAAAGUUACUGCAGGCAGAGAAGAGGUAGAACUGGCUUUCCUGUAUCCAGAAGUGCAGCCAGGAAUUGUGAACUGAUUUCCUUCCUUUUGAGGUCCUCAGAACUGGCCAAAUGAACUACAGAAGGGAAAAGCCGGAGGCGGUAUACUUGCAAAACAAUUUCAAGUCCACUGCGGUUUCCUCAUUUCCCUUGCAGAGUGUCAAGGAAAACCUGAAUUUUUGGUAGCCCAAGCAGAGCAGAGAUGAGUGUUAGAUAAGAUGCUGACCUGAGGCAGAGCUGCUUGGUGAAUCGAAGCCAAUUAAGUGGGUCUGCAGUGACCACCGUCGAAUUCAGCUUCACUCCAGACCCGGCCUCUCCACUUACCUGAGGUGGUUAAUUUGGGAAUUCCGUUAGUGCCAACCACGCAGACAGCUACGCUCUGUGCCCACGGCCCCCUGCCGUCCCCCCGCUGCACCCCACAGCUGAAGGCUCACAGAGACGCAUCGGCCUCAGGGACCGUCCUUGGCCCGCGGGUCCUUCCGGUGUUCCCCACUACUGUGCCCUGUCUCUGGCUCUUCCUGCUCUGUGCAAGUCUGCGGGACCCCCGCUCCCGCCCUGCCAGGACCCGUCACUCCGAGUUGGAAGAUGUCGUCCCAGAGCG